UACAGAGACUGCAAGCGUUAUUCGGAUUCACUGGGCGUAAAGGGUGCGCAGGCGGUUGGGUGUGUCAGAUGUGAAAUCCCGAGGCUUAACCUCGGAACUGCGUCUGAAACUACUCGACUAGAGUACUGGAGAGGGAAACGGAAUUCACGGUGUAGCAGUGAAAUGCGUAGAUAUCGUGAGGAAGCACCAGAGGCGAAGGCGGUUUCCUGGACAGUUACUGACGCUCAGGCACGAAAGCAUGGG
Molecule: ribosomal RNA, 243 nt
Filed under: uncultured bacterium
Lineage: Bacteria
Description: partial 16S ribosomal RNA
Rfam family: Bacterial small subunit ribosomal RNA
Source: RNAcentral